GGUCCUGUAGUAUAAUGGUUAUCACAUCUGCUUUACACGCAGAAGGUCUUGGGUUCAAUCCCCAGGAGAACCA
Molecule: non-coding RNA, 73 nt
Organism: Protopterus annectens (West African lungfish)
Lineage: Eukaryota; Metazoa; Chordata; Ceratodontiformes; Protopteridae
Source: the annotation of a RefSeq genome assembly